Molecule: ribosomal RNA, 544 nt
Filed under: Petrobia latens
Lineage: Eukaryota; Metazoa; Arthropoda; Arachnida; Trombidiformes; Tetranychidae
Description: eukaryotic LSU rRNA
Rfam family: 5.8S ribosomal RNA (bases 26-153)
Source: RNAcentral
UGGGUGGGUGGAUGAAGAAAGAAGCCAUGGGUCGAUGAAGAACGCAGCAAGCUACGAUAAUCGGUGCGAAUUGCAGGACACGCCGAGCACUUGAGCUUUUAACGCACAUUGCGGCUUUGGUCUUUUUCCAAAGUCACAUAUGUAUGAGAGUUGAGAACGGAAAUCUAACUAAAAGAUAUAGAUGAUACUCCCAAUAAUCACUAUAUCAGGCAUAGUCUGCCUUGAUAAUAUAUUCUUGUUCUUGAAGAGAUGUUUUGUUCUCUUCUAGUCAGGAGAUGUUUGUCCCAAACAUGUACAACUGUGGUUCACUGCUCCUGGUGACUAAGACAUCCAUAGAGACAAACCUUGGGGUCGUACCCUUCAGAUGAAGAUAAAGUCGGGCCCUGAUGUGGACAUCGUAGUAGAAGAGGUUAUACUCGAGGACCAAGCAGUGUCUUUGCUGCAUCGCUAAUGGAGAGUAAUAUUAUCCAUGUACUUGGUUGGUGGCAUAUAUUGAUUGGCUGGCAGGCAGGCUGGCUGUGCAACACAAUAUAUAUAACACCAG